This 492-nucleotide ribosomal RNA is filed under the name uncultured bacterium. RNAcentral describes it as "partial 16S ribosomal RNA". It matches the Rfam family "Bacterial small subunit ribosomal RNA", at positions 29 to 507 of the family's 1533-position model. The record is from RNAcentral.
AGUGAACGCUGGCGGUAGGCCUAACACAUGCAAGUCGAACGGCAGCACAGUAAGAGCUUGCUCUUACGGGUGGCGAGUGGCGGACGGGUGAGGAAUACAUCGGAAUCUACUUUUUCGUGGGGGAUAACGUAGGGAAACUUACGCUAAUACCGCAUACGACCUACGGGUGAAAGCAGGGGAUCUUCUGACCUUGCGCGAUUGAAUGAGCCGAUGUCGGAUUAGCUAGUUGGCGGGGUAAAGGCCCACCAAGGCGACGAUCCGUAGCUGGUCUGAGAGGAUGAUCAGCCACACUGGAACUGAGACACGGACCAGACUCCUACGGGAGGCAGCAGUGGGGAAUAUUGGACAAUGGGCGCAAGCAUGAUCCAGCCAUACCGCGUGGGUGAAGAAGGCCUUCGGGUUGUAAAGCCCUUUUGUUGGGAAAGAAAAGCAGCAGGUUAAUACCCCGCUGUUCUGACGGUACCCAAAGAAUAAGCACCGGCUAACUUCGUG